RNAcentral lists this ribosomal RNA (1446 nucleotides) under Limosilactobacillus fermentum. RNAcentral's name for it is "bacterial SSU rRNA". It matches the Rfam family "Bacterial small subunit ribosomal RNA". Lineage: Bacteria; Bacillati; Bacillota; Bacilli; Lactobacillales; Lactobacillaceae. The record is from RNAcentral.
CAUGCAAGUCGAACGCGUUGGCCCAAUUGAUUGAUGGUGCUUGCACCUGAUUGAUUUUGGUCGCCAACGAGUGGCGGACGGGUGAGUAACACGUAGGUAACCUGCCCAGAAGCGGGGGACAACAUUUGGAAACAGAUGCUAAUACCGCAUAACAGCGUUGUUCGCAUGAACAACGCUUAAAAGAUGGCUUCUCGCUAUCACUUCUGGAUGGACCUGCGGUGCAUUAGCUUGUUGGUGGGGUAACGGCCUACCAAGGCGAUGAUGCAUAGCCGAGUUGAGAGACUGAUCGGCCACAAUGGGACUGAGACACGGCCCAUACUCCUACGGGAGGCAGCAGUAGGGAAUCUUCCACAAUGGGCGCAAGCCUGAUGGAGCAACACCGCGUGAGUGAAGAAGGGUUUCGGCUCGUAAAGCUCUGUUGUUAAAGAAGAACACGUAUGAGAGUAACUGUUCAUACGUUGACGGUAUUUAACCAGAAAGUCACGGCUAACUACGUGCCAGCAGCCGCGGUAAUACGUAGGUGGCAAGCGUUAUCCGGAUUUAUUGGGCGUAAAGAGAGUGCAGGCGGUUUUCUAAGUCUGAUGUGAAAGCCUUCGGCUUAACCGGAGAAGUGCAUCGGAAACUGGAUAACUUGAGUGCAGAAGAGGGUAGUGGAACUCCAUGUGUAGCGGUGGAAUGCGUAGAUAUAUGGAAGAACACCAGUGGCGAAGGCGGCUACCUGGUCUGCAACUGACGCUGAGACUCGAAAGCAUGGGUAGCGAACAGGAUUAGAUACCCUGGUAGUCCAUGCCGUAAACGAUGAGUGCUAGGUGUUGGAGGGUUUCCGCCCUUCAGUGCCGGAGCUAACGCAUUAAGCACUCCGCCUGGGGAGUACGACCGCAAGGUUGAAACUCAAAGGAAUUGACGGGGGCCCGCACAAGCGGUGGAGCAUGUGGUUUAAUUCGAAGCUACGCGAAGAACCUUACCAGGUCUUGACAUCUUGCGCCAACCCUAGAGAUAGGGCGUUUCCUUCGGGAACGCAAUGACAGGUGGUGCAUGGUCGUCGUCAGCUCGUGUCGUGAGAUGUUGGGUUAAGUCCCGCAACGAGCGCAACCCUUGUUACUAGUUGCCAGCAUUAAGUUGGGCACUCUAGUGAGACUGCCGGUGACAAACCGGAGGAAGGUGGGGACGACGUCAGAUCAUCAUGCCCCUUAUGACCUGGGCUACACACGUGCUACAAUGGACGGUACAACGAGUCGCGAACUCGCGAGGGCAAGCAAAUCUCUUAAAACCGUUCUCAGUUCGGACUGCAGGCUGCAACUCGCCUGCACGAAGUCGGAAUCGCUAGUAAUCGCGGAUCAGCAUGCCGCGGUGAAUACGUUCCCGGGCCUUGUACACACCGCCCGUCACACCAUGAGAGUUUGUAACACCCAAAGUCGGUGGGGUAACCUUUUAGGAGCCAGCCGC